GCCGCUGUGGCGAAAUGCAAACGCGCGACGCUCAGACCGUCGUGGGCCCGGCCCUUGAGGGUUCGACUCCCUCCAGCGGUA
Molecule: transfer RNA, 81 nt
Filed under: Candidatus Palauibacterales bacterium
Lineage: Bacteria; Pseudomonadati; Gemmatimonadota; Gemmatimonadia; Candidatus Palauibacterales
Description: tRNA-Leu
Rfam family: tRNA
About the family: Transfer RNA (tRNA) molecules are approximately 80 nucleotides in length. Their secondary structure includes four short double-helical elements and three loops (D, anti-codon, and T loops).
Source: RNAcentral